This 633-nucleotide long non-coding RNA is filed under the name Mus spicilegus (steppe mouse). RNAcentral describes it as "lncRNA (ENSMSIG00000023053.1)". The record is from RNAcentral. Lineage: Eukaryota; Metazoa; Chordata; Mammalia; Rodentia; Muridae.
GCAGGAGUCUUUAGAACAUCUGUUUUAUGGAGGAUUCUAAGGCUAUAGUGUUCAUCAAGUAGGUACAACAGAAGACUAGGAAUCAACACCAAGUUUUGCACUGCGCUAACUGCCUGAAAUACUUUGUGGCUUCAUGAGAGACAUACUUCUUCAGAAACCAAUCACAGGAAGCAGAGGGAAGAGAGACCAAGCAGCAUCAGAAAGCAGGCAUGGAGUGGCUUUGCCACUGCCAUCUUUAGAAGACAGACCUUGCCUCUCAGAGCAGACUCGGCUCUCUGAGAUCCUUUCCAGACUGAGGUUGCAUUCCCCCAACCCCCAGAAGACUCCUUGCCUCUCUUUCCACAGGGUUUUACAACAUCAUUUGAGAUAUAUAAAUGAAGAUAUUUCUUCCGGGUAUCAAGCCCAUCUGUGGAUAUUAUUUAAUGAAAUGGGAAGGAAGGAUACAAACCAAAUGGUACCAGGGACAGUCAGGCAAGUUCCAGAUCUCAGCAACGCAACCCAAACAAGAGAGGCAGGAAGAGAUGAGAUACCGGCAACCAACACCUGGACAGAGCUCGCUCCAAGGAAGACCGAAGCCUUGUUUUGUUCGAAGGCUUGCUUUCACAUAGUUUGCUCUCCAACUAGAUUAAAACC